AAACUGAUCAAAACUGCAUUCAAGAUGUUUCUACUACGUGCUUUUCGACUUAAGAAAAAGAUAGCACCUGUGGAGGAUUUUGUGGCAGAUGAGAGCAAACAACGCCUCAGCUCUCAUAAGAGUAUUGCUGCCCCCUCUGCUCCAGUGUCAGCAACAACAGCUGAAGCUGGAAAAACUAAAAAGACCAAGAAUGGCUUCUUCAGUUUCAGCCAGAAGGAGAAAACUGAACCC
This is a long non-coding RNA of Centropristis striata (black sea bass), 231 nucleotides long. RefSeq lists it as uncharacterized. The transcript has 4 exons. NCBI's taxonomy places the organism in Eukaryota, Metazoa, Chordata, Actinopteri, Perciformes, Serranidae. The record is from RefSeq and is a predicted model, not a curated record.